This is a long non-coding RNA of Carassius carassius (crucian carp), 346 nucleotides long. RefSeq lists it as uncharacterized. The transcript is spliced from 3 exons. The record is from RefSeq and is a predicted model, not a curated record. NCBI's taxonomy places the organism in Eukaryota, Metazoa, Chordata, Actinopteri, Cypriniformes, Cyprinidae.
AGAACAAAUCAGAAGCCUUACAGCUUGUGGGAAGCUGGCUCAGACACUCAGAGCUGAUCGAGAAGAGUGAUAGAUGGCUGUGUGGCAUCCAUGAAGCUGCAACUCCCAGCUUUCUCCAAGGGAGCUCGAGAGAAGCAGCCCACCCAGUCACAUUUCUCCUCCAAGGCUGCUUCGUGGAAGAACAGCUGAAUGUGCAAGUUCAGAGCAGGAGGGGUGUGGUCAGAAUGAGGUCACACAAACAAUGCCUCUAAGGAAUGGAACGCUUCCCGAACAAAAAGUUAUCCCUGCUGAUCUCCUGGAGCGCUGCAACACAGGGACCACUGCUCAGAAACUCACAAAUGACCUG